RNAcentral lists this ribosomal RNA (246 nucleotides) under uncultured bacterium. RNAcentral describes it as "partial 16S ribosomal RNA". It matches the Rfam family "Bacterial small subunit ribosomal RNA", at positions 109 to 353 of the family's 1533-position model. The record is from RNAcentral.
AGUAACGCGUGGGUAACCUGCCUCAUACAGGGGGAUAACAGUUAGAAAUGACUGCUAAUACCGCAUAAGCGCACAGUGCUGCAUGGCACAGUGUGAAAAACUCCGGUGGUAUGAGAUGGACCCGCGUCUGAUUAGCUAGUUGGUGGGGUAACGGCCUACCAAGGCGACGAUCAGUAGCUGGCCUGAGAGGGUGAACGGCCACAUUGAGACUGAGACACGGCCCAAACUCCUACGGGAGGCAGCAUG